Long non-coding RNA from Etheostoma cragini (Arkansas darter), 71 nucleotides. RefSeq lists it as uncharacterized. The record is from RefSeq and is a predicted model, not a curated record. The transcript has 3 exons. Lineage: Eukaryota; Metazoa; Chordata; Actinopteri; Perciformes; Percidae.
AUCUGUCUUUUCUUGUCUAAGUCUCGGCAAGAAAGCGAAUAAGCGUAUUUCCCAAAAUGUUGAACUAUUCC